This 465-nucleotide ribosomal RNA is filed under the name Vreelandella stevensii. RNAcentral describes it as "partial 16S ribosomal RNA". It matches the Rfam family "Bacterial small subunit ribosomal RNA", at positions 338 to 795 of the family's 1533-position model. The record is from RNAcentral. Lineage: Bacteria; Pseudomonadati; Pseudomonadota; Gammaproteobacteria; Oceanospirillales; Halomonadaceae.
CCUACGGGGGGCUGCAGUGGGGAAUAUUGGACAAUGGGGGCAACCCUGAUCCAGCCAUGCCGCGUGUGUGAAGAAGGCCCUCGGGUUGUAAAGCACUUUCAGUGAGGAAGAACGCCUGGUGGUUAAUACCCAUCAGGAAAGACAUCACUCACAGAAGAAGCACCGGCUAACUCCGUGCCAGCAGCCGCGGUAAUACGGAGGGUGCGAGCGUUAAUCGGAAUUACUGGGCGUAAAGCGCGCGUAGGUGGCUUGAUAAGCCGGUUGUGAAAGCCCCGGGCUCAACCUGGGAACGGCAUCCGGAACUGUCAAGCUAGAGUGCAGGAGAGGAAGGUAGAAUUCCAGGUGCAGCGGUGAAAUGCGUAGAGAUCGGGAGGAAUACCAGUGGCGAAGGCGGCCUUGUGGACUGACCCUGACCCUGAGGUGCGAAAGCGUGGGUAGCAAACAGGACUAGAUACCCUGGUAGUC